CGCCUUUUGACAACCAAUUAAAGGUCCAGCCUGCCCAGUGAUAAACUUAAACGGCCGCGGUAUCUUAACCGUGCAAAGGUAGCACAAUCACUUGUUCCUUAAAUGGGGACUAGUAUGAACGGCACCACGAGGGUUACACUGUCUCCCCCUUUUAAUCAGUGAAACUAAUCUCCCCGUGAAGAAGCGGGGAUACCCCUAUAAGACGAGAAGACCCCAUGGAGCUUUAAACAAAGUAUCACUUGCAUAACUAAUACCACCUAAACCAAUGCAAAUUUGCCUACUAGUUUUUGGUUGGGGUGACCGCGGAGCAAAACAAAACCUCCACGAUGAAAGGAAAUUUAACUCCUAAUCAAAGAGCCACCACUCACAGAAUCAAAAUAUUGACCUAAAUUGACCCAAUAUAUUUGACCAACGAACCAAGUUACCCUGGGGAUAACAGCGCAAUCCAUUUCAAGAGCCCAUAUCAACAAAUGGGUUUACGACCUCGAUGUUGGAUCAGGGUAUCCCAGUGGUGCAGCUACUACUAAAGGUUC
RNAcentral lists this ribosomal RNA (533 nucleotides) under Cophixalus sp. A FB-2006. RNAcentral's name for it is "partial 16S ribosomal RNA". It matches the Rfam family "Bacterial large subunit ribosomal RNA", at positions 1817 to 2574 of the family's 2925-position model. The record is from RNAcentral. Lineage: Eukaryota; Metazoa; Chordata; Amphibia; Anura; Microhylidae.